RNAcentral lists this non-coding RNA (30 nucleotides) under Rattus norvegicus (Norway rat). The record is from RNAcentral. Lineage: Eukaryota; Metazoa; Chordata; Mammalia; Rodentia; Muridae.
UAAGAAAGCAGGUCUAGCAAGCCAGCAAAU